RNAcentral lists this ribosomal RNA (378 nucleotides) under uncultured bacterium. Its description in RNAcentral is "bacterial SSU rRNA". It matches the Rfam family "Bacterial small subunit ribosomal RNA", at positions 524 to 898 of the family's 1533-position model. The record is from RNAcentral.
AACGUAGGACACAAGCGUUAUCCGGAAUUACUGGGCGUAAAGCGCAUGCAGGCGGAUUACCAAGUCAUGUGUGAAAGCUCCCGGCUAAACUGGGAGAGGACGGAUGAGACUGGUAGUCUGGAGGGUGGUAGAGGCGUGUGGAAUUCCGCGUGUAGUGGUGAAAUGCGUAGAGAUGCGGAGGAACACCAGUGGCGAAGGCGGCACGCUGGGCCACACCUGACGCUGAGAUGCGAAAGCAUGGGGAGCGAACGGGAUUAGAAACCCCGGUAGUCCAUGCCGUAAACGAUGUGUACUAGAUGUGCGGAGGUCGAAAGGCCUCUGUGUGUCGAAGCAAACGCGCUAAGUACACCGCCUGGGGAGUACGGUCGCAAGACUAAA